UACGGAGGGUGCAAGCGUUGUCCGGAAUCACUGGGCGUAAAGGGCGCGUAGGCGGCUCAUGAAGGCUGUGGUGAAAGUCCGGGGCUCAACCCCGGAUCGGCCGUGGCGACUCGUGGGCUGGAGCACUGUAGAGGCGGGUGGAAUUCCAGGUGUAGCGGUGGAAUGCGUAGAGAUCCGGAAGAACACCAGUGGCGAAGGCGGCCCGCUGGGCAGUGGCUGACGCUGAGGCGCGACAGCGUGGGGAGCAAACAGG
RNAcentral lists this ribosomal RNA (253 nucleotides) under uncultured bacterium. RNAcentral describes it as "partial 16S ribosomal RNA". It matches the Rfam family "Bacterial small subunit ribosomal RNA", at positions 524 to 776 of the family's 1533-position model. The record is from RNAcentral.